UCGGUGCCGCAGCUAACGCAUUAAGUACUCCGCCUGGGAAGUACGCUCGCAAGCGUGCAACUCAACGGAAUUGACGGGGACCCGCACAAGUAGCGGAUCCUGUGGUUUAAUUCGAAGCAACGCGAAGAACCUUACCUAAGCUUGACAUCCCAAUGACAUCUCCUUCAUCGGGGAGUUCCCUUCGGGGACAUUGGUGACAGGUGGUGCAUGGUUGUCGUCAGCUCGUGUCGUGAGAUGUUGGGUUAAGUCCCGCAACGAGCGCAACCCUUGUCUUUAGUUGCCAUCAUUAAGUUGGGGGCUCUAGAGAGACUGCCAUGGAUAACCUGGAGGAAGGUGGGGAUGACGUCAAAGCAUCAUGCC
This 360-nucleotide ribosomal RNA is filed under the name Clostridioides difficile. Its description in RNAcentral is "bacterial SSU rRNA". It matches the Rfam family "Bacterial small subunit ribosomal RNA", at positions 840 to 1199 of the family's 1533-position model. Lineage: Bacteria; Bacillati; Bacillota; Clostridia; Peptostreptococcales; Peptostreptococcaceae. The record is from RNAcentral.